RNAcentral lists this unclassified non-coding RNA (287 nucleotides) under Glomus sp. Its description in RNAcentral is "partial contains 5.8S ribosomal RNA and internal transcribed spacer 2". The stretch from base 1 to 71 matches the Rfam family "5.8S ribosomal RNA", at positions 84 to 154 of the family's 154-position model. Lineage: Eukaryota; Fungi; Glomeromycota; Glomeromycetes; Glomerales; Glomeraceae. The record is from RNAcentral.
GUGAAUCAUCGAAUCUUUGAACGCAAAUUGCACUUUCUGGUAUUCCGGAAAGUAUGCCUGUUUGAGGGUCAGUUAAAUAAAAAUCGGUGUUGUUGCUGCUUUUCGUGGUGACGCGUCGGAAUUGAGUUGUCUUACCUUCGGUUAAGUGACUUAAAAUUUUGCAUGAUUUUCGAACGUAUUUAAAUUUCUUCGUUCGGUUUAGAUUUUGAAUUCUUUAUUUAGUUCGGUUAUUCUCCUGAUUCGCACCUUUUAUUUUUCAUUUAAUGACCUUAAAUCAGGUAAGGAUA